Molecule: ribosomal RNA, 425 nt
Filed under: uncultured Pseudomonas sp.
Lineage: Bacteria; Pseudomonadati; Pseudomonadota; Gammaproteobacteria; Pseudomonadales; Pseudomonadaceae
Description: bacterial SSU rRNA
Rfam family: Bacterial small subunit ribosomal RNA
Source: RNAcentral
GUGGGGAAUAUUGGACAAUGGGCGAAAGCCUGAUCCAGCCAUGCCGCGUGUGUGAAGAAGGUCUUCGGAUUGUAAAGCACUUUAAGUUGGGAGGAAGGGCAGUAAGUUAAUACCUUGCUGUUUUGACGUUACCGACAGAAUAAGCACCGGCUAACUCUGUGCCAGCAGCCGCGGUAAUACAGAGGGUGCAAGCGUUAAUCGGAAUUACUGGGCGUAAAGCGCGCGUAGGUGGUUCGUUAAGUUGGAUGUGAAAGCCCCGGGCUCAACCUGGGAACUGCAUCCAAAACUGGCGAGCUAGAGUACGGUAGAGGGUGGUGGAAUUUCCUGUGUAGCGGUGAAAUGCGUAGAUAUAGGAAGGAACACCAGUGGCGAAGGCGACCACCUGGACUGAUACUGACACUGAGGUGCGAAAGCGUGGGGAGCAA